This 243-nucleotide ribosomal RNA is filed under the name uncultured bacterium. RNAcentral describes it as "partial 16S ribosomal RNA". It matches the Rfam family "Bacterial small subunit ribosomal RNA", at positions 524 to 761 of the family's 1533-position model. The record is from RNAcentral.
CACGUAGGGUGCGAGCGUUGUCCGGAAUUAUUGGGCGUAAAGAGCUCGUAGGCGGUGUGUCGCGUCGGCCGUGAAAACCUGCAGCUUAACUGUGGGCUUGCGGUCGAUACGGGCAUCACUGGAGUUCGGCAGGGGAGACUGGAAUUCCUGGUGUAGCGGUGAAAUGCGCAGAUAUCAGGAGGAACACCGGUGGCGAAGGCGGGCUCCUGGGACCGACACUGAUCGCUGAGGGCAGCGAAAGCC